This 605-nucleotide ribosomal RNA is filed under the name uncultured Sulfurovum sp. Its description in RNAcentral is "bacterial SSU rRNA". It matches the Rfam family "Bacterial small subunit ribosomal RNA", at positions 28 to 650 of the family's 1533-position model. Lineage: Bacteria; Pseudomonadati; Campylobacterota; Epsilonproteobacteria; Campylobacterales; Sulfurovaceae. The record is from RNAcentral.
AGUGAACGCUGGCGGCGUGCUUAACACAUGCAAGUCGAACGAUGAAGCUCUAGCUUGCUAGAGUGGAUUAGUGGCGCACGGGUGAGUAAUGUAUAGCUAAUGUGCCCCUUAGAGGGGGAUAACAGUUGGAAACGACUGCUAAUACCCCAUACUCCUUCUUCCUAUAAGGGAAGUUGGGAAAGUUUUUUCGCUAAGGGAUCGGGCUAUAUGGUAUCAGCUUGUUGGUGAGGUAAUGGCUCACCAAGGCUAUGACGCCUAUCUGGUCUGAGAGGAUGAUCAGACACACUGGAACUGAGACACGGUCCAGACUCCUACGGGAGGCAGCAGUGGGGAAUAUUACACAAUGGAGGAAACUCUGAUGUAGCAACGCCGCGUGGAGGAUGACACAUUUCGGUGCGUAAACUCCUUUUAUAUGGGAAGAUAAUGACGGUACCAUAUGAAUAAGCACCGGCUAACUCCGUGCCAGCAGCCGCGGUAAUACGGAGGGUGCAAGCGUUACUCGGAAUCACUGGGCGUAAAGCGCGCGCAGGCGGUCUUUUAAGUUGGAUGUGAAAUCCUAUGGCUCAACCAUAGAACUGCAUCCAAAACUGAAAGACUAGAGUCUG